GUGCAGGGGCAGCGCCGGGCUGCCUGCGUGGUUAGCACCACAGUGACUCAGCGGAGGAGACCAGCGGCGGUAGGAAAGGAGCUGCCGAUGUAUUUAAGGCAUCACCCCCCUGAGUAAAACCUCUCCCUCUCAGCUCCUCUCCACAGCUGGGGAAGGCGAGGAAGAAGCUUCCUUCUUGGGCUGUGGGAACUGGGGAGGAGGUUCCAUCCCACUUCAUCCCUGAAAUAUGUUCCUGCCCUGGGUGUCUGUUCUUACACUGCUUCGGAUUCUGGAAGGGACUAAUGGAGAGUCAGUGACACAGCCUGAGGACGGAGUGACAGUAUCCCAAGGGAAACCAGCGCUGCUGAAAUGCAUCUAUAAUACCACCUUGAUUCCCACGCUCUGGUGGUACGAGCAGUACCCAGAUGAAGCCCCUCGCCUCUUGCUGGCACAAUAUGAAGCAUCGGAUGAGGAGGAGAGCAGGAGCAGGCGAGGGUUCUCCGCCACACCCGACAAACAGGGGAAGACUUUCCACUUGAAGAAAAACUCAAGUGAACUUCGCGACUCCGCCGUCUACUACUGCGCCAUGAGCGACACAGUGAUCACACCCAGCAGGGUCGCUGCACGAAAACCCGCUGGGGGAAGAGGAGGCGGCACUGAAGAUGUGUGGGUUUGA
Molecule: non-coding RNA, 655 nt
Organism: Caretta caretta (loggerhead turtle)
Lineage: Eukaryota; Metazoa; Chordata; Testudines; Cheloniidae
Source: the annotation of a RefSeq genome assembly